RNAcentral lists this non-coding RNA (45 nucleotides) under Schistosoma curassoni. Lineage: Eukaryota; Metazoa; Platyhelminthes; Trematoda; Strigeidida; Schistosomatidae. The record is from RNAcentral.
AUUCAACUGACCUGUCCAGAUUAAGACGAAACGCGCGUCUUGGAU